MicroRNA precursor from Brassica oleracea var. oleracea, 125 nucleotides. It matches the Rfam family "MIR9563 microRNA precursor family". Lineage: Eukaryota; Viridiplantae; Streptophyta; Magnoliopsida; Brassicales; Brassicaceae. The record is from Rfam.
GGAAUAUAAGAACUUGUCUCUUAACUUUUAACUAAAAAGAUUAAGAACCGGCUCUUAAAUAAGAGUUUUAAGAGACGGUUCUUAACUUUUUUAGUUAAAAGUUAAGAGACAGUUUCUUAUAUUCC